UCACACCUUGACCUGUCAACCUU
This 23-nucleotide microRNA is filed under the name Ptychodera flava. RNAcentral describes it as "Pfl-Mir-4825-P1b_3p (mature (guide))". The record is from RNAcentral. Lineage: Eukaryota; Metazoa; Hemichordata; Enteropneusta; Ptychoderidae.